RNAcentral lists this ribosomal RNA (335 nucleotides) under uncultured Planctomycetales bacterium. RNAcentral's name for it is "bacterial SSU rRNA". It matches the Rfam family "Bacterial small subunit ribosomal RNA", at positions 473 to 806 of the family's 1533-position model. The record is from RNAcentral. Lineage: Bacteria; Pseudomonadati; Planctomycetota; Planctomycetia; Planctomycetales.
CUAAGGCUCCAGAGGAAGCCACGGCUAACUCUGUGCCAGCAGCCGCGGUAAUACAGAGGCGGCAAGCGUUGUUCGGAAUUAUUGGGCGUAAAGAGCACGUAGGCGGCCUUGCAAGUCAGUUGUGAAAGCCUUCCGCUUAACGGAAGAAUGCCAGCUGAUACUACAGGGCUUGAGUACGGGAGGGGAGAGUGGAACUUCUGGUGGAGCGGUGGAAUGCGUAGAUAUCAGAAGGAACGCCGGCGGCGAAAGCGACUCUCUGGCCCGAAACUGACGCUGAGUGUGCGAAAGCUAGGGGAGCAAACGGGAUUAGAUACCCCGGUAGUCCUAGCCGUAAA